UACGAAGGGGGCUAGCGUUGCUCGGAAUCACUGGGCGUAAAGCGCACGUAGGCGGACUUUUAAGUCGGAGGUGAAAUCCUGGAGCUCAACUCCAGAACUGCCUUCGAUACUGAGAGUCUUCGAGUUCGGGAGAGGUGAGUGGAACUGCGAGUGUAGAGGUGAAAUUCGUAGAUAUUCGCAAGAACACCAGUGGCGAAGGCGGCUCACUGGCCCGAUACUGACGCUGAGGCGCGAAAGCUAGGGGAGCAAACGGG
Molecule: ribosomal RNA, 254 nt
Filed under: uncultured bacterium
Lineage: Bacteria
Description: partial 16S ribosomal RNA
Rfam family: Bacterial small subunit ribosomal RNA
Source: RNAcentral